GACAGCAGUCGCCACGGGAAUACGAAGGGGGCUAGCGUUGUUCGGAAUUACUGGGCGUAAAGCGCACGUAGGCGGAUAUUUAAGUCAGGGGUGAAAUCCCAGAGCUCAACUCUGGAACUGCCUUUGAUACUGGGUAUCUUGAGUAUGGAAGAGGUGAGUGGAAUUCCGAGUGUAGAGGUGAAAUUCGUAGAUAUUCGGAGGAACACCAGUGGCGAAGGCGGCUCACUGGUCCAUUACUGACGCUGAGGUGCGAAAGCGUGGGGAGCAAACAGGAUUAGAUACCCCCGUAGUCCCUGUCUCUUAUAC
Molecule: ribosomal RNA, 306 nt
Filed under: uncultured bacterium
Lineage: Bacteria
Description: partial 16S ribosomal RNA
Rfam family: Bacterial small subunit ribosomal RNA
Source: RNAcentral